This 71-nucleotide transfer RNA is filed under the name Marmota monax (woodchuck). Its description in RNAcentral is "tRNA.Ala". It matches the Rfam family "tRNA". From Rfam's summary of the family: Transfer RNA (tRNA) molecules are approximately 80 nucleotides in length. Their secondary structure includes four short double-helical elements and three loops (D, anti-codon, and T loops). Lineage: Eukaryota; Metazoa; Chordata; Mammalia; Rodentia; Sciuridae. The record is from RNAcentral.
GGGGUUGUGGCUCAGUGGUAGAGUACUCACCUAGCAUGUGUGAGGCACUGGGUUCAAUUCCCAGCACCACA